CGCGGCUACUCCACACAAUAGCUGCAAACCGCCGAAUAAAGGAGGAAUACCAUCCGCAGGCUUGCGGUGCGGCAGUGUGGAGACCUGUCGUAAGGCGUCGCGCUUCGGCGGACGCGAGGUAUGGGCAAGCGGAGGCUCCCAUAUCAAAGCCUUUUUACAUGGCA
Molecule: non-coding RNA, 164 nt
Filed under: human gut metagenome
Description: malK-I RNA
Rfam family: malK-I RNA
Source: RNAcentral